UGAACAUAUUUCACGAAAUUGAGAAUAGCAACGAUCCAAGUUCAAAAGGAUCUCAUUCGAAUGGAUGAUUUAGAUCUGUUUCGUCAAUAAUUGAUACAUUCGUCUAUGAUCUUCAAUUGAGAAACGAUUGAUAUCAUCUAAUUCAGUGCAACUUUUAUAUAAUUCGGUAAGUCCAUAGCUGAACUCAAUUCCAAGAGUAAAAUCUAUGUCUUAGGAAGGUUUUUGACUUCCUACGAAACAAUUGUUUUAAAAUCCAUCGUAAUAGAAUUCUCUGACUUUGAUUGAACAAAUCGAGUCAACUGUACUAGCGAUGAUUCUUCGUAACAUUCCAUUUGGACGUCAUUUGACGUACUAAGAAGGCUUUGUUUAUAGUUCAAAUUUUAGCUUACUAGAUUGUUUUUAGCAUAUAAAAUUAAACUGAGUUAUUUCAGAUAAAUGAGCUGGAUUACCGAGGUGAAGCAAUUGGUUAAGUUGUGUGAGUAAAACCCCUGUACGAUACAAGCAAUUAGUGACGUCACUACUUGCGUUUACGUUGAUUUUUUUGUUUACUAAUACAACAAUAUUUCACGAUCUGCUUUACCUCUCUUUGUACCACAUUGAUUUCAAAUAAUGAUGGCGCUUAACCUUCUUCGACUACAUAAUUUGAACAUUUUUGAUUGGAUUAAUAUUCGUUUUCAAAUGUUUGACAGUACUGUCAAUGUUGCCAGAUUGACGAUGCAUUUUACCUAAACUUACUUAUGACCAUUGAAAGCAGUUAUUCAGCUAAAAUCAUUAGUUUUUGCACUAUCAUCGAUCUACUGGGAUUCCUCAGAAUUACUAAAGUAAACCAUCAACCACUCUGACAACACUGGUCGCUCCUGCGCUGUUCCUUUCACCCUGUCCAUCCCUAUUAACCUAUCUGUGACAGUACCGGAACUGUGUACGAAUACACUCUUUCUAAAGAUACAAAAAUUACGGCAAUCUGAGAGACUGAUAGUGACUAUUGUGUAGAGAGAAAAAAAAUGCUUGUUUUUACAGACAAAACACAACAAACAAACAAAAUCUACUGAAGAUCUGAUUUGCAAUCUAAACAACAGAACACCGAAAUAAACACAAAAAUGUCGAAUCCUCCUUCAUAUCUUUUCCGUCUAGGGACUUGUUCACGUGUAGCUAAAACGAGAGUCAAUUACGUGUUUGUGUAAGCUAGGAAUUACUAACAAACUAUCGAUAAAGUGAAAAGAAAUUAAAAACCAAAGACCAAAGAUUAAAUAAGACUCUUGCCUGCGUGGCCAAGGAACACACAAACACCGAAAAAUACAGAAACGCACACACGCACACAUACACGCACAAGGUCUGACUCGCUUGCGCUUUCCUUAUAUGUAUAUGUACUAUUAAUGCAAACAACUUUGUGAGACGUGUCUGUGUGUGUGCCACUAACCUUCUUCAACUCCUUUUUUAAGACAGUUUAUUUUUGCGUGUGUAAAUCAGAUUCCCGCUGAACAGUGAAAAAACGCUGUCAAACGAAAAAGAAUAUACAAAAUAGUCCCAUUGUUUCUCCCCUUUCCGCACUCUAAUAGCAUCGAAAAUAAAAAUAAAAAACUUCGCUAUUUGUUAGGUUAAGCAAAACUAAUUUAUUUGUAUAAACUGAACGAGUCUACACGAAAAAGCUAAAACGGGAUAGAAAAGUAAGUAGCUGAACUCCCCCGAGUUGCCUUGGAAACCGAAAUAACAGACUGCAACCAAUGUGCCUUGAUUCGGGAAAAAUACUAAAAAACAAACAAUGAAUGCAUGAUUCAUCCAAAAUCAGUAUAUCACUAACCUAAUCCAGGCUGAAACUGACAAACGAAGAAGCAAAUCUAACACCGUUUUCCACCCUGUCUUGUUAAGCUUAGAUAGAUAGAGACAUAGAACAAAGCAGCCUAUUUUAGCUAGAGUUGUACGAUAAGUCCACACCUAUAUAUUUUAUAUUAACUUAAUAUACACAAAGAUCAAGAGAGAGAGAGAAAAUGCAAACUAUUUUCUGACAGCAUCAAUAAAUAUUGUUGAAAUGAAUAAAA
Long non-coding RNA from Ochlerotatus camptorhynchus, 2036 nucleotides. RefSeq lists it as uncharacterized. The record is from RefSeq and is a predicted model, not a curated record. The transcript has 2 exons. Lineage: Eukaryota; Metazoa; Arthropoda; Insecta; Diptera; Culicidae.